RNAcentral lists this ribosomal RNA (439 nucleotides) under uncultured bacterium. Its description in RNAcentral is "bacterial SSU rRNA". It matches the Rfam family "Bacterial small subunit ribosomal RNA", at positions 958 to 1398 of the family's 1533-position model. The record is from RNAcentral.
AACGCGAAGAACCUUACCCAGGCUUGAACAGCGAGUGACCAACUACGAAAGUGGUCUUCCGCAAGGACACUCGUAGAGGUGCUGCAUGGCUGUCGUCAGCUCGUGUCGUGAGAUGUUGGGUUAAGUCCCGCAACGAGCGCAACCCUUGUCUGCUGUUGCCAUCACGUUAUGGUGGGCACUCUGCAGAGACUGCCGGUGAUAAACCGGAGGAAGGUGGGGAUGACGUCAAGUCAGCAUGGCCUUUAUGUCUGGGGCUACACACGUGCUACAAUGGCCGACACAAACCGUCGCAAAACCGCAAGGUGGAGCUAAUCGGAGAAAGUCGGUCUCAGUUCGGAUCGUCGGCUGCAACUCGCCGGCGUGAAGUUGGAAUCGCUAGUAAUCGCGGAUCAGCACGCCGCGGUGAAUACGUUCCCGGGCCUUGUACACACCGUAGUAC